GGCGAUUCGCUGAAAAGAUGUCUGCUCGGGUGUAAUGGGAGCCUUUUUCUUAUGCAUGUAUUUGUUUCCUGCACACAAAUUCAGUUCUCUUUGUGGAAUUUCGAAUUAUUUUGGUGCUCUGGUUUUGCAUACUAGGGAUGAAAAGUGAGUUCAAUACUUCAAAUGCUAAAUUGUUGCGUAUGUCAUGUGCUCGAUGGAGUGGGACUGCCGGUGUGACAAGUUGAAGAACAACAUUCUUGGAAUUGAAAAAUUAUCCCGCGGUAUUUCUUGAAGCCCAAGGUUGCAAUGAAGCCUUUUACGGAAUAGUUGGAGCAAAUUAUUACAGCUAAAAUUCUUGCAUCUGCAAGUGGCAUUCCAUCAUCUGCUGAAAUUGAUUGAGAUAUAUUCCUUAAUCCCAAUUGUUCUGCAGUGUGAGACAAUUUAUUCAUGCCGGCACAUUAUUGCUUGCAUCGGUCUAAUAGUCUAUGGGUGGCCCUCAUGAUGUCAUGAGAAAAUUUACUUAUUUGUUGAUCUUGGGUUCAAUCUAUUUUAUCUAUUUAGUAGUUUUGGUUCAAAGCUUUAUUCUUCUAUUAUUUCAGGGACAAUUUCUCUAUUAGCCUAUUUAGUCAUUCUCAAAGAAGUUGACCCUAGCACGUGCUCCUAGGCACUAUGCGAGAGUGAAUGGUGGGCCAUGCACUAAUAAAGUAGUACAAUUUUAUAGCUCACUAUUAUACUUGUUUGCUCUAAGAUGACUAUAGAUGAUAUGGCACUUAGCUUAUAGCCAACAGUUGACUCUACUAAUGAACUUUGAUGAGAUGCCAAUAUCUGUGAUUUUUUUUAUGAUAGAAGUCCGUGCCGGCCGAAAGUUGACUCUACCAUCUCAUCAAAGAAUACUAUUUAGCUCAUAGGUGACAUGGCACAAUAUCUGUGAUUUUUUUUGUUCUUCAAUAGAUGGACCAUGUCCGCUCAAAGUCAGAGGUUUAUCACGAGCAUGACAUAGGAUUUUGGGCACGCAAGAGUUAAAACAAAUCAGGCAACAAAAGCUAAUUCAAGAAGCCAUUGACAAUUGGUGAGACUGUCUACCUUAUUUGCUAAGUAUUUGUCGACUAUCGUAGCAUAUAUACCUACUGAAUGUGUUUGCUGCAAUUAGUGACGAACAAUACGAGUGGUCUGUUUCUCAUUGGAGCAGGUUGCAUUUAUGCAUCUAAACUUUAUUUAUCAAUCCUACCUUCCUCCCAUGAUGAUAAAUGAGCUCUUCUAGCAAACAAUUUGUAGAACUAAGUUGUCAAUUUAAAACACAAUCUCUGAUCAAUAUGGUAAUGUAGCAGCACUUCACAGUCGUGAUUGCAGUGUGCAAUCACGAGAUCACUAGGUAUGGUGCUCCAGAUUGAAAUCAUCAGUUUUAUUACCGGUCUGCUUAAUUACCUAUAGUUUUUUGAUCAACCUUGUACAUUCUUCAUCUGGUAUAGAGUAGUUGACAUUUUUCUUGGAUAUUCUGUAGUUGUUUUACUCAAAAUUAGCAUGCAUAUGCUGCAGACUGAAUGACUGAAUGUUGGCCCUAUGAAUGACCCUGCACUACCCAUUUUAAAAACUUCACAAUGCUGAACAGAGUUUAGGAUAACAUCAUAAUAGAUUUUCCCAGCCUAAGUUGACCCAAGCCUAUCACAAACAGGGGCAUAUGUUUUUAGAUCCAAAACAUGGCAUUGUUUCUGUUUAGGAAGCACACAUCAAACAGUCUAUUUACUACAGUAUGUCUAAAUGAGUACAGUGACCAUGGUAUCUGAGUAUUUUAUCUUGUAUCUGAUAAAUUGUUGAUCAAACGGUAUGCAUUGUUUAUAAAUUUUUAGUUUCGUCAAGAAGCUACAGUAGGAAUAACUACUGUUUCCAACAAGGGCGGCUCUGACCUCCCAGAUUCCUGUCAGCGGCCCGUUGUGGUGCCCGGCGAUCUUCUCACCGUCUCGAUCGCCACGGCCGCUGCCGCACCAACAUCACUACUCCCGGCCAUCUCCACUUGGCUGAGGUCUUGGACGAUGCUGAGCCUAGGCAGCAGUCCUGGUUCAUCGGCUGGAGGACUGCCUCCACAGACUCGUGGUCCAAAGCCACAAGGUGGCCUCACAGCGCACGGAUGGAAAUUCCCAGUUGAAGACAAGGUACAUCCUUAUCCCCAUCCCCUUUGCUUAAUAGAUCUGGACUGGAGAAUUAAAUCAAAAUUAUCUAGACCAAAUAGCUGG
Lolium perenne is the source of this 2210-nucleotide long non-coding RNA. RefSeq lists it as uncharacterized. NCBI's taxonomy places the organism in Eukaryota, Viridiplantae, Streptophyta, Magnoliopsida, Poales, Poaceae. The record is from RefSeq and is a predicted model, not a curated record.